This 468-nucleotide ribosomal RNA is filed under the name uncultured bacterium. Its description in RNAcentral is "partial 16S ribosomal RNA". It matches the Rfam family "Bacterial small subunit ribosomal RNA", at positions 28 to 507 of the family's 1533-position model. The record is from RNAcentral.
GACGAACGCUGGCGGCGUGCUUAACACAUGCAAGUCGAACGGAAAGGCCCUGCUUUUGUGGGGUGCUCGAGUGGCGAACGGGUGAGUAACACGUGAGUAACCUGCCCUUGACUUUGGGAUAACUUCAGGAAACUGGGGCUAAUACCGGAUAGGAGCUCCUGCUGCAUGGUGGGGGUUGGAAAGUUUCGGCGGUUGGGGAUGGACUCGCGGCUUAUCAGCUUGUUGGUGGGGUGGUGGCUUACCAAGGCUUUGACGGGUAGCCGGCCUGAGAGGGUGACCGGCCACAUUGGGACUGAGAUACGGCCCAGACUCCUACGGGAGGCAGCAGUGGGGAAUAUUGCACAAUGGGCGGAAGCCUGAUGCAGCAACGCCGCGUGCGGGAUGACGGCCUUCGGGUUGUAAACCGCUUUCGCCUGUGACGAAGCGUGAGUGACGGUGAUGGGUAAAGAAGCACCGGCUAACUACGUG